This 275-nucleotide ribosomal RNA is filed under the name uncultured bacterium. RNAcentral describes it as "partial 16S ribosomal RNA". It matches the Rfam family "Bacterial small subunit ribosomal RNA", at positions 338 to 606 of the family's 1533-position model. The record is from RNAcentral.
CCUACGGGUGGCUGCAGUGGGGAAUCUUGGUCAAUGGGCGAAAGCCUGAACCAGCGACGCCGCGUGAGUGAUGAAGGCCUUCGGGUUGUAAAGCUCUGUGGGGCGAGACGAAAGCCUACGUUCUAACAGGACGUAGUUUGACGGUAUCGCCUUAGCAAGCACCGGCUAACUCUGUGCCAGCAGCCGCGGUAAGACAGAGGGUGCAAACGUUGCUCGGAAUCACUGGGCGUAAAGGGCGUGUAGGCGGGAAGGAAAGUCAGAUGUGAAAUCCCUGG